GGAAUACGAAUGGGGGUCAGGAUUGAUUUUUGGAAGGUGGAUUUGUAAGUAAUUAUUUUUAUAGGUUUAAUAGAUGAAGGGUGGAAUAGCAUGUGUACAUAUUGCCCGUCGCUCUCGUUAUUUUUGAGAUAAGUCGUAACAUAGUUGAUGAACUGGAAAGUGUAUCUUUUUGA
Molecule: ribosomal RNA, 173 nt
Filed under: Appalachioria separanda separanda
Lineage: Eukaryota; Metazoa; Arthropoda; Diplopoda; Polydesmida; Xystodesmidae
Description: partial small subunit ribosomal RNA gene
Source: RNAcentral